Molecule: long non-coding RNA, 264 nt
Filed under: Elaeis guineensis (African oil palm)
Lineage: Eukaryota; Viridiplantae; Streptophyta; Magnoliopsida; Arecales; Arecaceae
Description: long non-coding RNA (EGUI_LNC043944)
Source: RNAcentral
AAGGCCAUUGAGAUUUAAGUUGAUCAAAGGUAAUCAUCCAUGCAUACCGAUCUGAGAUAAUUAUUUGAGAGUAUCGAUCUGAGCUCUGCUCUUUUUAAUACUAGUGGUAUUUUUGCUUUGCUCAUUGAUGCGAGCAGUAUUUUUGCUCUGUUUGUUAAUGCGAGCAUCAUUUUUGCUCUGCUCAUUGAUGCGAGUGGUGGCAUUUUUGGUCUUCUCAUUGAUGUGAUAGGCCGAUCAAAGGUCGAUUAUUGCGAAUUGAGCAUC